Molecule: ribosomal RNA, 765 nt
Filed under: uncultured Streptococcus sp.
Lineage: Bacteria; Bacillati; Bacillota; Bacilli; Lactobacillales; Streptococcaceae
Description: bacterial SSU rRNA
Rfam family: Bacterial small subunit ribosomal RNA
Source: RNAcentral
GACGAACGCUGGCGGCGUGCCUAAUACAUGCAAGUAGAACGCUGAAGAGAGGAGCUUGCUCUUCUUGGAUGAGUUGCGAACGGGUGAGUAACGCGUAGGUAACCUGCCUGGUAGCGGGGGAUAACUAUUGGAAACGAUAGCUAAUACCGCAUAAGAGUAGAUGUUGCAUGACAUUUGCUUAAAAGGUGCAAUUGCAUCACUACCAGAUGGACCUGCGUUGUAUUAGCUAGUUGGUGAGGUAACGGCUCACCAAGGCGACGAUACAUAGCCGACCUGAGAGGGUGAUCGGCCACACUGGGACUGAGACACGGCCCAGACUCCUACGGGAGGCAGCAGUAGGGAAUCUUCGGCAAUGGACGGAAGUCUGACCGAGCAACGCCGCGUGAGUGAAGAAGGUUUUCGGAUCGUAAAGCUCUGUUGUAAGAGAAGAACGAGUGUGAGAGUGGAAAGUUCACACUGUGACGGUAUCUUACCAGAAAGGGACGGCUAACUACGUGCCAGCAGCCGCGGUAAUACGUAGGUCCCGAGCGUUGUCCGGAUUUAUUGGGCGUAAAGCGAGCGCAGGCGGUUAGAUAAGUCUGAAGUUAAAGGCUGUGGCUUAACCAUAGUACGCUUUGGAAACUGUUUAACUUGAGUGCAAGAGGGGAGAGUGGAAUUCCAUGUGUAGCGGUGAAAUGCGUAGAUAUAUGGAGGAACACCGGUGGCGAAAGCGGCUCUCUGGCUUGUAACUGACGCUGAGGCUCGAAAGCGUGGGGAGCAAACAGG